UCACUAAUCAAGCUGGGCUUAUUGUUGGACUUCUUGUCGUUAACAGACAGGUCCCAAAGAUAAUGACGGCGUCAAUUAGACCCUAGAUGCAACGAGCUUUCAUUAGCACGCAUUUUAGCUAAGCCUAUUGACCCGAUCUUUUUUAACCAAUUUCUAA
Molecule: unclassified non-coding RNA, 157 nt
Filed under: uncultured Herpotrichiellaceae
Lineage: Eukaryota; Fungi; Ascomycota; Eurotiomycetes; Chaetothyriales; Herpotrichiellaceae
Description: sequence contains ITS2
Source: RNAcentral